GACGAACGCUGGCGGCGUGCUUAACACAUGCAAGUCGAACGGAAAGGCCCUGCUCUUGUGGGGUGCUCGAGUGGCGAACGGGUGAGUAACACGUGAGUAACCUGCCCUUGACUUUGGGAUAACUUCAGGAAACUGGGGCUAAUACCGGAUAGGAGCUCCUGAUGCAUGGUGGGGGAUGGAAAGUUUCGGCGGUUGGGGAUGGACUCGCGGCUUAUCGGCUUGUUGGUGGGGUAGUGGCUUACCAAGGGUUUGACGGGUAGCCGGCCUGGGAGGUUGACCGGCGACAAUGGUACUGAGAGACGGACCAGUAUCCUACGGGAGGCAACGGGGGGGAACAUGACGGAGCAGGGCGACGCGAGUUACGGCGGCGUCGCGAGCGGGAUGACGGGCUUCUAGUGGUAAACCGCUGUGGCCUGUGACGAGGAGUGAGUGACGGUAAUGGGUAAGAAAGCACCGGCUAACUACGUG
RNAcentral lists this ribosomal RNA (468 nucleotides) under uncultured bacterium. RNAcentral's name for it is "partial 16S ribosomal RNA". It matches the Rfam family "Bacterial small subunit ribosomal RNA", at positions 28 to 507 of the family's 1533-position model. The record is from RNAcentral.